UUUUAAUUAUUUAUUUCGGCGCGAACCCUCCGCGGUGGCCGUGCGAAACGCGAGUACGCGUGCGAAAAAAAAAUUACGUGUAUACGGAAAACGCGAGAAACGUUCGAAUUGCCCCGGGUAAAGACCGAAAUAAUAUGAUCGUUACUGUCGUUGUCCGCGGACGAGAGGAGAGAAUCCCGGCGAAACGGAAACGGGCGCACGGUCGCGGACGGUAUAAUUUCGUUGACGCGGUUACCACACGGCUCGCGAUCGAGAAACGGCGAGAAACGAAGACGCGCGCG
Molecule: non-coding RNA, 281 nt
Organism: Cinara cedri
Lineage: Eukaryota; Metazoa; Arthropoda; Insecta; Hemiptera; Aphididae
Source: the annotation of a GenBank genome assembly